GAUGAACGCUGGCGGCGUGCCUAAUACAUGCAAGUCGAGCGAACAGACGAGGAGCUUGCUCCUCUGACGUUAGCGGCGGACGGGUGAGUAACACGUGGAUAACCUACCUAUAAGACUGGGAUAACUUCGGGAAACCGGAGCUAAUACCGGAUAAUAUAUUGAACCGCAUGGUUCAAUAGUGAAAGACGGUGUUGCUGUCACUUAUAGAUGGAUCCGCGCGGCAUUAGCUAGUUGGUAAGGUAACGGCUUACCAAGGCAACGAUGCGUAGCCGACCUGAGAGAGUGAUCGCCCACACUGGAACUGAGACACGGUCCAGACUCCUACGGGAGGCACCAGUAGGGAAUCUUCCGCAAUGGGCGAGAGCCUGACGGAGCAACGCGGCGUGAGUGAUGGGGGUCUUCGGAUCGUAAAACUCUGUUAUUAGGGAAGAACAAAUGUGUACGUAACUAUGCACGUCUUGACGGUACCUAAUCAGAAAGCCACGGCUAACUACGUG
RNAcentral lists this ribosomal RNA (497 nucleotides) under uncultured bacterium. RNAcentral describes it as "partial 16S ribosomal RNA". It matches the Rfam family "Bacterial small subunit ribosomal RNA", at positions 28 to 507 of the family's 1533-position model. The record is from RNAcentral.